CAACAAGUUCAUGGAAGAAAGUCCCCCAAGAUGUUAAGGACCUUAUCAAGAAGCGUUGUUUGGAUGAUUUCGAAUUAAAUUUUGGUCGGAGAGAGGAGCGUAAAACUGUGGAAGAGCUUAUGACUAAUGCAUUCUGCAAGUAUAAGGCGAGAUGUCAUGAGCAUUAUAAUAAGUUUGAGAAUAGUGAAGAAGCACGCCAACAUCCUUUUCAAGAUGUGCAACCUUCUGAUUGGGAAAAACUUUGUGACAUGUUUGAGGAUCCAUCAUAUAAGGAGCGAAGUUCUAUA
Molecule: long non-coding RNA, 287 nt
Organism: Carya illinoinensis
Lineage: Eukaryota; Viridiplantae; Streptophyta; Magnoliopsida; Fagales; Juglandaceae
Exons: 3
Source: RefSeq, a predicted model, not a curated record